Molecule: transfer RNA, 74 nt
Filed under: Propioniferax innocua
Lineage: Bacteria; Bacillati; Actinomycetota; Actinomycetes; Propionibacteriales; Propionibacteriaceae
Also listed under: 2 other names
Description: tRNA-Arg
Rfam family: tRNA
About the family: Transfer RNA (tRNA) molecules are approximately 80 nucleotides in length.
Source: RNAcentral
GCGCCCGUAGCUUAACGGAUAGAGCAUCUGACUACGGAUCAGAAGGUUGGGGGUUCGAAUCCCUCCGGGCGCGC